CAAUUUCAUACUUUUAAAUGAAUAAAAUUCUAACUUCAGCUGCACAAAUAAACAUUAGAACAUCCAAAAUAAUUUAUGCAACUAAGAGUCAUAUUUUAAGCAUCUUUAAUUCUCAAACCCAAUAAAUUCAAUCCUCACAAGUUCACUUUAAAUCAAUCAUUUAAGCACAAGAAUCUCAUAAAAAAAUUGAAUUCUAAAACAUAAAUGUGGUCAUAAGUAUGCAUUCAUUAGUCU
RNAcentral lists this long non-coding RNA (234 nucleotides) under Vigna radiata. RNAcentral's name for it is "long non-coding RNA (VRAD_LNC012537)". The record is from RNAcentral. Lineage: Eukaryota; Viridiplantae; Streptophyta; Magnoliopsida; Fabales; Fabaceae.